UACGGAGGGUGCAAACGUUGCUCGGAAUCAUUGGGCGUAAAGCGCACGUAGGUGGCCUUCUAAGUCGGGUGUGAAAUCCCUCGGCUCAACCGAGGAAGUGCACUCGAGACUGAAAGGCUUGAAUAUGGAAGAGGGUCGCGGAAUUCCCGGUGUAGAGGUGAAAUUCGUAGAUAUCGGGAGGAACACCAGUGGCGAAGGCGGCGACCUGGGCCAAUAUUGACGCUGAGGUGCGAAAGCGUGGGGAGCAAACAGG
Molecule: ribosomal RNA, 253 nt
Filed under: uncultured bacterium
Lineage: Bacteria
Description: partial 16S ribosomal RNA
Rfam family: Bacterial small subunit ribosomal RNA
Source: RNAcentral